AUGACAGUUGGACAGUGAGCGAUAAAGUCAAGCAUCAAGAGUGAGAAAGAACUUUUCUCUCUAAGGUUUCCUGAGGGAAGGGUGCUGCUGGCAGAUGCUGGUGACAACUGGCUGCUGGAGAAUCUGAUUGAAGGAGAGUGUGUGGGUUGCUAGCUGUCCAUUGUUUAGACUGACUCACCUGAAGAUGACACCAGGCUGACGAUGAUGGAUGUGCAUAUGCUGGAACUCUGCACCACAACAGUUGCCAGCAAACCCAGCAUUGCCCAGGCUAUGGGGUUGAAAAGUACUAGCCCGCCAAAGAGAAAUUCUCUGGCCACUUUUCCUAAAAAAGUAAAGACAUUUAAAAAAUGCUA
Long non-coding RNA from Monodelphis domestica (gray short-tailed opossum), 353 nucleotides. RefSeq lists it as uncharacterized. Lineage: Eukaryota; Metazoa; Chordata; Mammalia; Didelphimorphia; Didelphidae. The record is from RefSeq and is a predicted model, not a curated record.